Molecule: unclassified non-coding RNA, 240 nt
Filed under: soil metagenome
Description: partial contains 5.8S ribosomal RNA, internal transcribed spacer 2, and large subunit ribosomal RNA
Source: RNAcentral
AACAUCGCGCACCUGCGGGAACCUGCGGAAGGAUCAUUACACAAUAAAAUAUGAAGGCUGUACGCGGCUGUGCUCUCGGGCCAGUUUUGCGGAGGCUGAAUUAUUUAUUACCCUUGUCUUUUGCGCACUUGUUGUUUCCUGGGCGGGUUCGCCCGCCACCAGGACCACAUCAUAAACCUUUUUUAUGCAGUUGCAAUCAGCGUCAGUAUAACAAAUGUAAAUCAUUUACAACUUUCAACA